Long non-coding RNA from Passer domesticus (house sparrow), 7953 nucleotides. RefSeq lists it as uncharacterized. The record is from RefSeq and is a predicted model, not a curated record. The transcript is spliced from 5 exons. Lineage: Eukaryota; Metazoa; Chordata; Aves; Passeriformes; Passeridae.
CUGGUUAAGAAACUCUGUUCAUAUUCUGGGAUAAUUCCUGUUGCUGUCUCUGUGGCAUUCAAGUUUAUCUGCAGAAAGAAUACAGUAGUUCAUGACUUUAGACCUUCACUGGAGAAAUAUUCAUAGGUAUCAUUUUACCUUGAGUGAAUGGGGUAGCAGAUGACUCUCAAAUUCCCCAGGAAAUUUCCUUGAAUGAACUUAAAGGGGAAGAGGAAAGAAGUGAAUUACCAGGUAUAUGCUCCAGAAGUAAAAGCAUAUUUGCUUUGCCAGCACAGCAUGUGGAUGGAUCACCAUGUCCUAGCAUAAAAUACAAGCUUUCAGGAACAUUUAAAAAGUAUUUAGUGAGGGGAGGGGUUGGGGAAAUCUUCAUGUGCCAGAGAGGGAAAAGUUCAUAGACUUGCAUUAGCUCUGCUUUAGUCUACCUAUCCUUAUUGCAAUGUUGCAAACAUAGAUUUAAAUGCUGCUGCAAUUCAAUAUUUUUUACUUUUCUUCUUAGGAAUUUUUCCUUCAAUACAAUGUGGGCUUUCUUCUAAAGGGGUACUAGGAAAUCUAGGAUAUAAAAUGACAUGACUAUGCUGACAGGCACAAUUAGUCACAGUGCAUUUGUCAUAUCUAAAUAUAUCUAUGUUAUUUUAUUUCAUUGCUGAUUUUUCCUACAAGUUUCAGAUUAUCAAGUCAAUUGUGCAGACAUGCUAGAGUAUGAGACUAGGUGACACAAAUUUCUGAAACACUGAUAAAUACAGAUGAAGCAGAGAGGGAUUAAUGACAAAUCUAAGCAGAUGUUAGGAAUCAAUGUUGAUUGCUGAGGAAUGGCACACUAGAUGGAGUUUCAUUGAGUGUGCAAGGGCACUGUGAUGUUUGUGGUACACAUAAAGUGGAAGAAACAGCCCUAACACUAGAUAGUGUUGUUCCUUUUUGUUUAGUUCCUGAAAAUCUGUCAGUGGGCAAACAAACUGAAAUUGUGUCACAGUGUCUUCUCUGUUGCAGAUAUGUUAAAUCUCCCUAAGGACCAAAAAUGAGUGUAAAUUCUGCAACAGCUGUCAGGUCUGACAAAACAGCAAAUGACAUGUUGCUCUCAUGUGACUCCAGUUGACAGUAUACAAAAGUGUCAUAAAGGCUUUGUUUUACUAUAAUUUCUGAAUGUGAUAAAGGAUAACUAUAUUUAAUAUUCAGUGAGUUUUGAUGUAUUGCCUUCAUUCUGAUCAUCAUAUUGUUUUUAGUAGAAACAAACCCAAAAAAACCAACUGCAGUCCAGGGCUGGUGGAUACAUGAUCUGAAGAAAGCCCAGGGUUGUAACAGCAUUGUAAACCAAGAGUAUAGUUGUACUUUCAAACAGAUGGAGAGGGUGGCAUGGGUCUCCAGUAUUUUUUCUAAGCAGUUCACUCCAACAUAAGCUUGUCCAACCUCAACACAGAACAGCAAUGUUUAUCUUGGGAAGAUACAGCACUCAGUGUACUGUAUGGAGAAGAAGAUGACAAUCUUCAUGGUCACUUAAGAGGUAAUCACUGAAUAAAAUUUCAAUUAAUAAAAUUCCUACACUGUCUUGCAUGCCCCAGCUGGACUGGCUAGCCCUUGUUUUGCAGAGCACUCUCCAGAGUCAAUAGGAGACUUCGGCACCUGCAGGUUCCUGAGGGUCUAAAAUGCCUGUGAAAUUUUGUCUCAUAAGCAAGACAAACAGUGGAUACCUGUAAAUGAUGAUCAGAAUGAGAUUUCAGAAGCAGCUCAUUGCAAAUCAACAUGUCCAGAUAUAGCAAAAAGAAAAUCUUUUGCAGUUACAUCCCACAGAGGUAUAAAUACAUAUUGGUAUGUAUGCGCAAUAUGCAUUGCAUAUAAAUGCAAUUCAUAUGCAUGCAAAAAGAAGCUCAUUCUAUCUAGAUAGUCAUACAUGAGUCUCCUUUCAAAGGAAACCGGAGGCCCAAAUUGUAUCUGAAUCAUGUGGACCUUCAGUGCAGGUAACAGGCACCUUACCAACCCAGGAGAACCUACAAUUUCCAAUUAAGAGAGGAGAAGCACAAGUCCUAUAUAGAACAGUUGCAGCACAAUUCCCUUCCUGCAGGCGGCCAAGAAAGUCUGGUGCCAAGGUCUCAUCCUGAUGCUGUCAUUUCUUUUCUACUCUUUUGAGGCACUAACUGGAGAACAUUUCCUGUUCCACAUUAAGUGUCGAGACUGCAAUUCUGCCUAUCCUUCACACAGACUUCACAAAAUUAUAAAGGCAUAUAGGACUCUAUGUUCUUGUCUAGGUAUUAGAAAGACUCAAUCCGCAAAGCAAUUUCAUUUUGCCUAUCUACAGUGCUUACAUUAAAAAAAAAGGAGUUUCUAAAGUGCAUAUCAGAAAACAGUUUUACGGUGAAUUUAUGUUAGAACAAGAAAGAUCAAGAGAAGGUACUUGCCUUUGCAGGGGCAAAUAUUUUGGAUGUCUCUUAAUUUUCAAGAAAAAGAUCUUUCUAGGAUCAUUGAAGCUUUUGGGGUCGUGGCAGAGUAAGAAACUGAAUGUAGAUUUUCUCCACUAGAUGAGGAAUAUAAACAAUGGACCUUCUCCCUCCACUGUCUGUUUUUAGAAGAGCACAACUAGCUUUCCAAGCCUGCCCUUGGUAUGGCUAAAAGUUAGCACCUGAGCACACAAGGCAGUGUGAGCCUCCAUCUUAUUUUCUAGCUUAUCACAAUGAUUUUGUUUCUCUUUCUUUUAAUAAAUGGGCAGUACAUGAAGAUAAGGUAGUUCUCUAGUGACUAUAGGUUUCUAAAUUUAGAGCACAUGGCUUUGGUUACCCUCAAGGUGUCAGCACAGAUAUGUAACAAAGACCUUCAGCAGUCCAUGAAUUUGUUGUAGAAGUUUAUUUUUUCAUCUUCUUAAUGUAAAGUUUUGACAGCAAAGCACCAACAGUAUCAUUCCCCAAAGCAGAACUACCAAAAGGGGGAAAAUUUAUUGAGCUUUUCUCAGGAUGUCUCUAAUAAUGCAAAACUUUCAGCCAAGAAAUGGGGAAAUUUGCCUUCUACACAAUGACACAAAAGUAAUGUCUGGGAUCCAACACCGGUAUAGCUGAACUUCCAAAUGUUAUUUAAUAUAGUAAAAUGAGACUCUGGAAAGUGUGAACUUCAAUUAUAUUAACUAUUUUUUAAAAAUUCAACACAUACCAACAGCCUUUUGCCAUAGAAUGAAGGUGUGCACAUUUACUCUGAGAAUCCAAUUUACAUGAAACUUGGAGUCACAAUGGUACUUUGGGAGGGUCUUAUAUAAUUUUUAUAAGGACAUGUACUGCUCCAUGUAGACAAAUCAUAGUGCUGUAAGAGGGCUUCAUCUGUAAAAAUCCCUCCCACUUAAAGCAAACAGGUCACAGAAGUUGUUGAGGAGAAGCUCUACUCGAAAAGACUGGUGCUGUCACACCAUUUAUUUCUUUGUUGGUCUGAACAGAUCGUGACAAUCUACAUAGAAUAAAUGCACUAUCCUUUCUGGGAUCCUUUUUGCAAUACAAAUUACCCCUCUUCUUGGAAUCACUGAUGUUCACUGCCUGCAUUGAGUCAAGCUUCUAAACAAACAAAGACUUUUAACAACAAACACUGCAUUGUUCAUAAGAAAAAUUUGGUCUCUAUUUCAUUAGUCAUGUUGUUAGCUCUGUCUUUAUUUUAGCCUAGACCUUGAAAUUUGCAGUGUUCAAGUAAAAGAAGUGGAGGUCAAGGAAGCAUACUGAGGAAAAUGAAUGGGCUGAGAGAGGAAAGGAAAGUGCUAUUCCUGGAGAAGAGAUAAUUUGCAGUAGCAGAGACAGAGAAGAAGGGGAGUUUGACUUCAGCUUGAAAUACAGACCUGUUCUAUAAAGCAUCAAGAUGUAGUCUGUCUGUCAGAGGCUCCCCGACUGUGUUUCCUCCACUCUUCCAUCUUUUGAAGCCCAAGGACUUCCAGAGCACUUGGCUACAGAGAUCUGAUUAGAAGGAAACAUGGGUUCCUGUAGUCCUAAAAUAACCCAGUGAAGAAAAAAAAAAAGCAUGGCUGAAGGCCAAGAAGAACUAGCCAAAACAGACCUGCGGACUCCCCUGUGGUGAAGCAUGGAUGCUGGAAAACAGAGCACAGCAACUACUGAAAUAUAUUGGAAAGGGAUGUAGAGAAGGACACAAUGAUGGUUUCUGUGACAGGCCUGGUUCUGCUCCUGGCUAUAAAUCUGUACAAGAUCAGAUCUAAGUUGUACACAUGGUCUCCUGCAUUGCCACGCUGCUACAGAGUCUGACUACAGGAAAGAAAUCUGCCUGAGCAAGGAUUUACCACUCCAGGCAAGUGAUACACUCUGGUUUAUAAGUAUAAAUUUCCACAGAUAGGAGAAGCAUUUUGUUCCUUGGCCACAGUAGAUGCUGAUACAUGCCUUAGGUGGGAUCCUUGCUGAUGGCUGUAAGGUGGCACAGUAAAUGGAUCCUGUGCUGGCUGACAAUAUCACAGUGACAGAUGAGUAUUAUGAUAAUCACAAGGCACUGGAUAAUCACCUCUGUUUCUUACUUGAUGCCUGAGAAUUAGCUCUCCUCUUCAGAAUAAGGAGCAAUUUUACUGCAGUCAAACUCCAUGAUUUUGUGCUGCUCCAGACAGGACUCACCUGAAGCUGGCCCUACAUAUUUUUCUCAAAGAUUCAGAAUAACGUAAAUAUUUGAAGAUUAUGCUUCAUUUUAGAUAUAUUGGCCAUUGAAUGUAGGUGUUCAAUUUGUUUUCAGGAAAUGUGAACCACAGAUCAUCCAAGGCAAUGCCUCUCAUUUAUAACUCUGUAAUAUUGGUACUCUGUAACAUGAGCACCUGUAUCACUGAGAUUUUUCACUGUGAAGAAUUUUUGUAAGCACACAGUCAACAGUUAUGUGCCAUCAUAUAUAUCAAUUUAAAAAAAUAAUCUGAUAAAGCAUAAUAUUAACUCCUUUUGAAGAAAAGCACUCAGUUCAGGUUUUAUGCAGUAACAGAAAAAACAAGGGCUGUUUACCACAGCACACAUGUCACAAAAGCUGCUGGUAUUCAGCUGAGUGUCUGAUUUCUCUGUUUGAAAGAACAGUCCACUGGGUGCAGUUAAAAUGCAAAGGAGAAUAUAAAAAAAGUGAAAUCCUGUGUGGGUGAAUAAGCAGUUUCUUUGAAGUUCAAAUCUGACAUAUAUUUCAGCGCUCAACAGAAGCAAAAAUCGAUUCUCAAAUUACUCUUCUUUCUAGCUUUGGAUGAACUUGAAAGGAGAGCUGACACCAGCAUGUACAAACAUGUACACAACCAUUUCUGGGCCCUUUGCAUUUCUAGGAACAGGCAAAAACAACCAACAUGAGGAAAUAGCUUGGCAAAUAGAGCCAGAACACUGUCUCCAUUUUUUUACUACUCUUACCUUCUUCGGGUGACUGACCCCAGAAGACCUGGGGUUUUUGUUUCUUAAUGCUCCUAGUUGAAUAUUUCUCCCCUGGGGAAUGUUAGCUACAGAUUCUUCAUGAGAAUAGAGACAACAUGGCUCUGACCUUCUGCAUCAGCAUCUCCAAGAUCAGACAAGUACAGAGAGGUGUGUAAUUCCUCCCCUCCUUACCCUCCCUUCAGCCAACAAACCUCCUUUCUGCACCUGAUGAGUAGAGGAAGAAAGAGGAGAUGGAGAGGGAAGUAUGAAAGAAGAGCAAUUUGUUGCUUACCCAGAGAAAUUCCUCACCAGAUUAGGGCCACUGGAUCACCUCUCAAGCAAAAUCUGGGGCUGAUAUCUGAAGAUGUUGAACCACAUGGUCAGCUUUGCAGGUGGAGCCUGAGGUUCUGCUGAUGUCCUGAGAACUUGCAUGGGAUGGAAACCUGGUCCAGCACAUUGGUCCACAAAUAACAGCGUAAUCCACAGUCAAGGGCUCAGCCUCAACUACCCUUGGCCAUGAGAUACUGGUGGCAGGCUCUCAUCCUUACUCAUCCGGUGGGCCAUCUGUCCAGGAACACCUACUAUUCAUACCCAACCCCUUACAGAAUAUGUUCAUGUGGCUCAAGGCCUUUGAAAACCAUGGGGUGGCAAUUUUCUGUACAAAAUGACAUUCUCAGUGGAGUAAAAUAUUUUGUAAGAAGUUUAAUCACAAUUAUUUCUGUUUAACUGAAAUAGAAAUGUAUACUGCAUUAUUUUGAUUAUCUAAGUACUGUUGCUGCACUAGGAAAAGUGAUUCGCCCAGCAGCAGUGGGUUCACAGGCUCUUCCUACCACUUUAUAUUCUGCUUUGAGCAACAUCCAAACUCAAUUUAACAUUUGUAUUCUCUUCCUAGUGUUGUUAUGAGGUAAUGGUUCUCUUAAUCCAAACCUUAUCUGCCCAGCUGCAAUUUUUAUAUUUUCCUCUGACUGUGUUAGUCACAUAAAAUUGAAGAACAUGAGAAUUCAGUAAAUCUUUCAAAGCUUAAGAUUACAAAGGGUGGAAUUUGUUUCAUCAGUCAACUUUAUUAAUAAUCUGCAGUCUGAACUGGAUUUGAAAUUGAAGUGAGUAGCACUCACUAACAAAAGAAAUAAAAUGCACCAUGAGAAACAUUUUGUCUAUUAAUGUCUGCUACUUUUCAGUUACAAUAACUGAAAUAGAUUAAAUGUACAACAAAGAGUGGAAAAAAAUUAAAGUAUUUCUCUUUAUUUCUCUCCUUCUCUGUUGUUGCUCAAAUAGGAUAUUAAGGUAUACAUUGUCAUUAAAAAAUUGGUUUAUGAUCUUUAUUCAAGCAGUAAAGGCAGAAAAAUUAAGGAGGCAGAAAAAUUAAGGAUUUUUUGAGUAUAUAUUGAGUAUCAUCGACCUGAAUAUAGAUCUACCACUUUCAGAUGCCAUCAGCUGUGGAGUUUAUUAUAUUUUAGGCAUGAACUCCAUCUUUACAGCACAGGGAACAGUGAGGCCUGGAUUGUGGCUGACAUUUCUGUGUGGUGUGUAAAUGAACAUGUGCAUGGAUGUUUAUGGACUUGCAAGUGUCCCUCUCUAAAACAUCUUACCAGAAACUUUUCUAUGGAUUAGAAGGACCACCUUCUGCAAACCUUUCAUCAUGUGUCCAGCCUCUCUCACUACCUUCCAAAGGGAAAUUGUCUCCCCAGGAAAAUGUGCACUAAUUGCUUGCCCAGAAAGGAAAUUAAUGACUCAAAAAUUGUGACCAACAGAAUGCAUUUUGAAGAUAGCCAGUCCUGAGAAAUGUCAUCUUUGUUAGACUAAUUUCUAUUUUCUAGUUUUUGAAUUUGGGUCAUUUUUGAAUGGUGGAAGCUGAGGUAACAUGCCAUGUAGCUGUGAAGCUGUAUCACAGGGUAGAUCACUGCCCUUCCUGGUGGUGCGAGUGUACAGGAAAAGAGACGCAACUCUGGAAACUGUGGUUCCAACCCUGCCUCUGCACCUUAUCAAAUCCAUAUCAGCAAGGUUUAAAAGCCAGAGCACAAUGCCCAUUGUCAAAGCUCAAUUUUGAAAAAUGUCCUUACCAAUCAGAGCAGUUCUGCUCUGAUAAUCCGUUACCAUGCAUAAUUUCAGAGAGACAUCAAGCAAGGAGGCACAAGUAUUUUUUGCUGUAUGCUUCAGCAGUGAGAAUGUGAAAAGGAGAAAGAGUUAAUUUCUAACUCUUGGAGGUGGAGAAAGGCAAAAUGGCUGUUACACUCCAUCCUCAAAAUAGGAGUCAUUAAACAUGAAAAUAUGUUUAUUGCAGAGUUUUUACAUCAUAGUUAAAUGGCCCAUCAUUCAGGGCUUAGGUAUAGUCACAAAUCACAAUAUACUUCCACUUCUUCUAAAAGUGAGGUAACUAACCUGUGAGAUAUUUAUUCUAUCCAGGCAAUUUUCCAUAAAAGAUAUUUUUAUAUUUGAUCAGUACGUAUCCCAAACUGCUUAUAGUGUCAGAAGAGUUUUCAGGCUGGAGUUGUGAUGAAGAGGACUGUGUAGCCUUUUACAUGUGUGGCCCUUUCAGUCAAGAACAGUUGACCAGUACACCCAAUUGCCAAAAGCCAAAGGGACACAAAAGAUACUUCUUUUGUCCUUCUAGACAAAAGAUACU